Molecule: ribosomal RNA, 434 nt
Filed under: uncultured Lachnospiraceae bacterium
Lineage: Bacteria; Bacillati; Bacillota; Clostridia; Lachnospirales; Lachnospiraceae
Description: partial 16S ribosomal RNA
Rfam family: Bacterial small subunit ribosomal RNA
Source: RNAcentral
ACGGAAGGCAGCAGUGGGGAAUAUUGCACAAUGGGCGAAAGCCUGAUGCAGCGACGCCGCGUGAGUGAAGAAGUAUCUCGGUAUGUAAAGCUCUAUCAGCAGGGAAGAAAAUGACGGUACCUGACUAAGAAGCCCCGGCUAACUACGUGCCAGCAGCCGCGGUAAUACGUAGGGGGCAAGCGUUAUCCGGAUUUACUGGGUGUGAAGGGAGCGUAGACGGUUUGGCAAGUCUGAAGUGAAAUGCGGGGGCUCAACUCCUGAACUGCUUUGGAAACUGUCGAACUAGAGUGCAGGAGAGGUAAGUGGAAUUCCUAGUGUAGCGGUGAAAUGCGUAGAUAUUAGGAGGAACACCAGUGGCGAAGGCGGCUUACUGGACUGUAACUGACGUUGAGGCUCGAAAGCGUGGGGAGCAAACAGGAUUAGAUACCCUGGUA